ACUCUUCUUCCAUCUUAUCACAAGGAAGGCUGGUGCCUCCUGUGGCAGCUCUAUUUAUAGCUCCCUUACUCCCCUUCCCCUCUCUCACAGGCAUGCAAGAGAUUGAAAGCUGGGGUCUCCUGCAUAGGGAAGGAUGUCCAACAGAAUGCUAUACUGAGGUGCACUGAGAAAAAAUAAAUUCCACACCAGAGAUAUGAUUUUUCUAUUAACCCUCUAACCCCAAACUUCUUCAGGGACUUCUUCUUUUCCUACGAGUUUCUACAGAAUUCCUCCAUAAGAGCUGAAGAAGUUUGCAGAAAUAAGUCGUUCAUGUCAGUAUUUCCUAAUGCUUAUAAAACUGUUCAUUGUUUUUAAAAAUUGAUUCCUUUUAAAUAUAUAAUCAAGUUAGAGAGGAGAUCUUUUGAAGCUUCAAGGAUUAUCUUGCAGAGCUGUUCAUUACCGAGCUCUGGUAAAACUCCAGCCCUGUGUGUUUCCAGUACAAGCUUCCAGGAAAAAAAGGCUUCCCAGAGCUGGUAUCACACACAGUACUCAGCAGAAAGCUGACGUUUAACAAGACUGGAACAUCAAAUAAAAUUGUGUAUUAUAGACUGGACAUUCACUGGCCUACACGGAGCAAGUACUUUGCAGCCACAGUUACCAGCAGAAAAACCCGCCUGUAAAACUGUCACUGGUACAGGCAGGGGCAAGGAGACAAGCAUUGUUAAUCAAACUUUCUGAAACAUGAAAAGAAUCAAUUUAGUAUGCAGCGAGUGUUGAAGACAGCUCUGAGCAGGAACAUGCCUCCGUGCUCCAAAGGGAGACUUCCCACAUUUUGAUUGCACGAGUACUUGGAAGAGCAAUAUGCAGAGCGCUGCCAUCAGGGUCGCAUUUGCCAUUUGCAAUCAAACACAGCCUAAUGCAACACUGCUCCUUGUUCUGUUAUUUUUAUUUAUUUAUUUUUUCCUCCAUAUGAAAUUUUCUCUCCCUCAGUCUUCCUCUAUUUAUUGUAUCCUUUCAGGCAUUAAUUUCAUCACUGCUAAAUAUAAUUUCCUACCAACUGAGAUGGAAUGACAGUCAGGCCAGGAUUUACACUUCCAGUUUAAUAAAACCAGUGAGAAUGAUUUUUAAAUCAAUGCAGGAAGGGAAUUUCAAGGAACCCUGGGUUCAUGGCCAUGAUUGCAUAGGAUGGAAGUAAUAACUUUGAUUUGCUUUGAUGUGGAGAGUUUUCUCAUGAUUCUCACGCAACAACAGUUGUCCUGAAGUGCUGCUUUAUAAUGCCUAAUCUAAAACCAGUGACUUUCACUAAUGGUAGAACCACAGCUUAACAAGACUGUUCUUUCUUCUCUACCCAGAGCAUUUCACUACCUUUUCCUUUGCAAAUGUGCUUUCUUCUAAAA
Anas platyrhynchos (mallard) is the source of this 1376-nucleotide long non-coding RNA. RefSeq lists it as uncharacterized. NCBI's taxonomy places the organism in Eukaryota, Metazoa, Chordata, Aves, Anseriformes, Anatidae. The record is from RefSeq and is a predicted model, not a curated record.